RNAcentral lists this ribosomal RNA (941 nucleotides) under uncultured archaeon. RNAcentral describes it as "bacterial SSU rRNA". It matches the Rfam family "Archaeal small subunit ribosomal RNA", at positions 1 to 923 of the family's 1478-position model. The record is from RNAcentral.
UUCCGGUUGAUCCCGCCGGACCCCACUGCUAUCGGGGUGGGACUAAGCCAUGCAAGUCUAUGGCCGCGGCCUCUGCGGCCAUGGCGCACGGCUCAGUAACACGUGGCCAACCUACCCCAAGGAGGGGGAUAACCCCGGGAAACUGGGGCAUAAACCCCCAUAGGUGAUGGGCUCUGGAAGGACCCAUCGCCGAAAGUGUGCCAGAAGGAUGCUUCUGGCAACAGCCUUGGGAUGGGGCUGCGGCCGAUCAGGUAGUUGGUGGGGUAACGGCCCACCAAGCCUAUAACCGGUACGGGCCCUGAGAGGGGGAGCCCGGAGAUGGACUCUGAGACAAGAGUCCAGGCCCUACGGGGCGCAGCAGGCGCGAAACCUUCGCAAUGCGCGCAAGCGCGACGAGGCCACCCCGAGUGCCACCCUCGUGGUGGCUUUUGCCCAGUGUGAACAGCUGGGCGAAUAAGCGGGGGGCAAGACGGGUGUCAGCCGCCGCGGUAAUACCCGCUCCGCGAGUGGUGGGGACUUUUACUGGGCUUAAAGCGUCCGUAGCCGGCCCGGUGUGUUCUCUGUUAAAUCCGGCGGCCUAACCGCCGGGCUGCGGAGAAUACUACCGGGCUUGGGGGUGGGAGAGGCCGACGGUACUCCCGGGGUAGGGGUAAAAUCCACUGAUCCCGGGAGGACCACCAGUGGCGAAGGCGGUCGGCCAGAACACGCCCGACGGUGAGGGACGAAAGCUGGGGGAGCGAUCGGGAUUAGAUACCCCGGUAGUCCCAGCCGUAAACGAUGCGGGCUAGGUGUCGCGCCAGCUACGGGCUGGCGCGGUGCCGAAGGGAAACCAUUAAGCCCGCCGCCUGGGGAGUACGGCCGCAAGGCUGAAACUUAAAGGAAUUGGCAGGGGAGCACCACAAGGGGUGGACGUUGCGGCUUAAUUGGAGUCAACGCCGGGA